Molecule: ribosomal RNA, 529 nt
Filed under: uncultured bacterium
Lineage: Bacteria
Description: bacterial SSU rRNA
Rfam family: Bacterial small subunit ribosomal RNA
Source: RNAcentral
AAUAGAUACCCGGGUAGUCCUCGCCGUAAACGAUGACCACUAGGCGUGGGAGGUAUCGACCCUUUCCGUGCCGCAGCUAACGCGAUAAGUGGUCCGCCUGGGGAGUACGGUCGCAAGACUAAAACUCAAAGGAAUUGACGGGGACCCGCACAAGCAGCGGAGCGUGUGGUUUAAUUCGAUGCAACGCGUAGAACCUUACCAGGGUUUGACAUGCACGCGCACCGUCCAGAGAUGGACGUGCCCGCAAGGGACGCGUGCACAGGUGCUGCAUGGCUGUCGUCAGCUCGUGCCGUGAGGUGUUGGGUUAAGUCCCAUAACGAGCGCAACCCCUAUGGUUAGUUGAAACUCUCUAACCAGACUGCCACUUGAAAGUGGAGGAAGGUGGGGAUGACGUCAAGUCAGCACGGCCCUUACAUCCUGGGCGACACACACGCUACAAUGGCCCAGACAAUGGGUAGCCACCCCGCGAGGGGGAGCCAAUCUCAGCAAACUGGGUCUCAGUUCGGAUUGGAGGCUGCAACCCGCCUCC